This 1047-nucleotide long non-coding RNA is filed under the name Oryctolagus cuniculus (rabbit). Its description in RNAcentral is "lncRNA (ENSOCUG00000037830.1)". Lineage: Eukaryota; Metazoa; Chordata; Mammalia; Lagomorpha; Leporidae. The record is from RNAcentral.
AUGGCGGCAGGGGGAGGCGUGCUGGGGGGCUGGGCUCUUCUGGAAGGACCCGAGGGCAGGCAGGUGCAGGGCCCCCAAAGUGUGGGUGCCCCCAAGGCCCCGCCCCUUUCAGUGUGGCCCCGCCCACCGUGGCCAGAUCACGAGGUAGUCGUAACAGGGCCACAAAACCCUCUGCAGCUGGACGGUGAAUUCAAAAUGACUGCUCCCCUAAGAAGACAGGAGGCCACGGUGUUAACACCUCCUGGCAGGCUGUCUGCAGGUAUGGGAGUGGGUUCACACCUCCUGGGCAGGCCGUCUGCAGGUACAGGAGCGGGUUCACACCUCCUGGGCAGGCCAUCUAUGCAGGUACGGGAGCAGGUUCACACCUCCUGGGCAGGCCGUCUGCAGGUACAGGAGCGGGUUCACACCUCCUGGCAGGCUGUCUGCAGGUACAGGAGCGGGUUCACACCUCCUGGGCAGGCUGUCUGCAGGUACAGGAGCGGGUUCACACCUCCUGGGGUGCAGGCCAUCUAUGCAGGUACAGGAGCGGGUUCACACCUUCUGGGGUGCAGGCCAUCUAUGCAGGUACGGGAGCGGGUUCACACCUUCUGGGGUGCAGGCCAUCUAUGCAGGUACAGGAGUGGGUUCACACCUCCUGGGCAGGCUGUCUGCAGGUACAGGAGCGGGUUCACACCUUCUGGGCAGGCCGUCUAUGCAGGUACGGGAGCGGGUUCACACCUCCUGGGCAGGCCAUCUAUGCAGGUACAGGAGCGGGUUCACACCUUCCGGGGUGCAGGCCAUCUAUGCAGGUACAGGAGUGGGUUCACACCUCCUGGGCAGGCUGUCUAUGCAGGAACGGGAGCGGGUUCACACCUUCUGGGCAGGCCGUCUAUGCAGGUACGGGAGCGGGUUCGCACCUCCUGGGCAGGCCGUCUAUGCAGACUGAGGAGUGGGUUCACACCUUCUGACUGUCCCUGGGGUGGCCUUCAGAGCGCAGGACACAAGGUGACAAACGGGCAGCCUACCCGAUGGGACUGCUUAUGUAGAUGGGGGCGAGUGGGAGGGUGA